Molecule: long non-coding RNA, 1119 nt
Filed under: Urocitellus parryii (Arctic ground squirrel)
Lineage: Eukaryota; Metazoa; Chordata; Mammalia; Rodentia; Sciuridae
Description: lncRNA (ENSUPAG00010022036.1)
Source: RNAcentral
AAACACCGGGGACCCCCAUCCCAAAGGCUGCGACCCUCUCCCUCGGGAGGCACAGGGAGGGCUGCUUUAGAGGAACUUCCAGGGUCACGUUCCAGGCGUGCUCUGGGAGGGCCCCGGGCCCCUGUCCACGUCCAGACCCUCGCAGGCCUCUCCUUCCCGUGGGUGUGCUCAGGGCAGUGAGCUGGGGCCAUGAGGGCUGCCCUCACAAGGCCAGGGACCCCCUUAYAGUCAGAACAGCUCAAGUAGCACCCCGCCUGGGCCCCUGCGGGAAGCCACCAGGGCACACUUUGAGCUGGCCAGCUGCCAGGGGGCAGCUCACGUUUAAACAAKCUGCUCUAAAACCCACGCUCCCCGAGACCCUCCAGACCGAUUUCGUUGUUGACGGGGACACAGGGCUGCCCGAGAACGUUCUAGUUGUCACCCCCAAGCAAGAACAUUCAGCUGAGCCCCUGAGCCGGAGGUCACCUCAGGUCAGGCUCUGCGCUGACCCCRCUGCCGUGGCCAGGCCCCCAGCUGGGGUUUGCAGGAGGCAGGUGGUCUGUAGACAGCGCAGGGCCCUCGAGGGAGGCGAAGCCGGUCAGGUCCAAGGCAGGGGUCGGGCGCUGGCCACUUACCACGACAGCAGCUCCAGGCCCAGAGAGCCGGACCCUGCUGYGGGCAGCACCAGGGAGGGCUGCCUCGAGGCCCACCUGGCCGCCUCUUCAGGAGGCUGUGAUCCUGUCCUGCUCCAGACGCUUGGGGGUGGGGACAGGCCAYGGCCCCUCCAGAGGGAACGGCCCCCCCUGUCCUGGUGAGUCACCAGGGAGCAGGCAGGGCUCCCAGAGGAGGCUGCUGGGUGGCCCCCUCCCACCUUGUCACGUCCCUCGCCAUCAGGAUGACCCUCAGGCCCCACACCCAGUGCUGGUGGCCUCUGCAGACUCAUGGCUCCACCCUGCCACCCACCUCCCUGUCCCUCUGGGCCUUUGCCCRGGUCAGGAGACCAAGCUCCCAGGUGCCAGCUCUGUGCCCUCAGAAAGUCCCUCCCUCCAGGGCUCAGUGUCCCUGUAGUGGAGGGGGCCAUCCUGGGGCGGCUGGUGCCUGUCGGGGACUCUGCCCUGUGGCCUGCGGACUGCCCACGCG